This 430-nucleotide ribosomal RNA is filed under the name Pseudomonadota bacterium. RNAcentral describes it as "Proteobacteria bacterium partial 16S ribosomal RNA". It matches the Rfam family "Bacterial small subunit ribosomal RNA", at positions 355 to 776 of the family's 1533-position model. Lineage: Bacteria; Pseudomonadati; Pseudomonadota. The record is from RNAcentral.
UGGGGAAUAUUGGACAAUGGGGGGAACCCUGAUCCAGCCAUGCCGCGUGUGUGAAGAAGGCCUUAUGGUUGUAAAGCACUUUAAGCGAGGAGGAGGGUACUGGUAUUAAUACUACCAGGUACUGGACGUUACUCGCAGAAUAAGCACCGGCUAACUCUGUGCCAGCAGCCGCGGUAAUACAGAGGGUGCGAGCGUUAAUCGGAUUUACUGGGCGUAAAGCGUGCGUAGGCGGCUAAUUGAGUCGGAUGUGAAAUCCCCGGGCUUAACUUGGGAAUUGCAUGCGAUACUGGUGAGGUAGAGUGUGGGAGAGGGUGGUAGAAUUCCGGGUGUAGAGGUGAAAUGCGUUGAGAUCUGGAGGAAUACCGAGGGCGAAGGCAGCCAUCUGGAAUAACACUGACGCUGGGGUACGAAAGCGUGGGGAGCAAACAGG